This 504-nucleotide ribosomal RNA is filed under the name uncultured bacterium. RNAcentral's name for it is "partial 16S ribosomal RNA". It matches the Rfam family "Bacterial small subunit ribosomal RNA", at positions 30 to 523 of the family's 1533-position model. The record is from RNAcentral.
AUUGAACGCUGGCGGCAUGCCUUACACAUGCAAGUUGAACGGCAGCAUGGAGAGCUUGCUCUCUGAUGGCGAGUGGCGAACGGGUGAGUAAUGCAUCGGAACGUACCGUGCAAUGGGGGAUAACGUAGCGAAAGUUACGCUAAUACCGCAUACGACCUGAGGGUGAAAGCAGGGGAUCGCAAGACCUUGCGUUAUACGAGCGGCCGAUGUCAGAUUAGCUAGUUGGUGAGGUAAAGGCUCACCAAGGCGACGAUCUGUAGCGGGUCUGAGAGGAUGAUCCGCCACACUGGGACUGAGACACGGCCCAGACUCCUACGGGAGGCAGCAGUGGGGAAUUUUGGACAAUGGGGGCAACCCUGAUCCAGCCAUGCCGCGUGAGUGAAGAAGGCCUUCGGGUUGUAAAGCUCUUUCGGCCGGGAAGAAAUCGCACAGGCUAAUACUCUGUGUGGAUGACGGUACCGGCAUAAGAAGCACCGGCUAACUACGUGCCAGCCGCCGCAGUAA